UCCGGUUUUUUCCGUGGUGAUAACGCAUCCAAAAGUCUCUAUCACCGGGAGAAAAACUGGAGU
Molecule: microRNA precursor, 63 nt
Filed under: Caenorhabditis elegans
Lineage: Eukaryota; Metazoa; Nematoda; Chromadorea; Rhabditida; Rhabditidae
Description: Cel-Mir-36-P4_pre stem-loop
Source: RNAcentral